This 3252-nucleotide long non-coding RNA is filed under the name Nicotiana tabacum (common tobacco). Its description in RNAcentral is "long non-coding RNA (NTAB_LNC013320)". The record is from RNAcentral. Lineage: Eukaryota; Viridiplantae; Streptophyta; Magnoliopsida; Solanales; Solanaceae.
UUUUUUGAAUUUUUGAUUUAUAACACAUCUUUUUUCCAGUACAAAAUAUGAGAUACAAUAACAAAAGACUCGACAUUACUAUAAAAAACUAGAAGGUAAAAGAUGACAUAAAAGAAAAACAGACACAAAAUAUAAAAAUAAAUAAAAAAAUUUCUCCCUAAGCAACUCCUAAAUGACGAUCCUGACUGGAUAGUGUCGGGCGUCUGUCAUGCUCAAACUUUGGUAAGUGAACCCACACCUGUAUGAGAAAAUUAAAACCAAAUAAGUUAAAGACCUAGAACGCUAUGUGAGACAAUAAUCUUUCCUGUUGGACACAUGCACGACAUGAUUGUGACUAUUUUUCUAAAAUUAACCUAUGUGGCUAAAAGUGGCUAAAAAUGCAAGAUUUAGCUAAGUCCCCGCGAAGCCAAGAACCUAAGACUUACUAGGAAGAUCGGACCCUAUGUGAGUUGCCUACGUAUCCCGCCCUGAAAGACGAGAAUCAGAUAUGCGUAGUUCGGAAAGAUUGGAUACGGGCGAGAAAUAUAAAAAAAUAACUAAUUUAGAGAAAAUAUAUUUUUUGUCUUUUUUUUUUUUGCAAAAUGAUGAAACAUGUAAACUUCUUUUUUUUAGAUUUUCUUUUUCCCUUUUUUUUGGUUUUCGGAAAAUGAUGAAAAUGUGCAAUUUUUUUUUUGAAAUUUUCAUGUUUUUUUUGUCUUUUUCUUAACAAAAAUGUGACAGAAAACAUAACUGGGCCCUACUUGCUUUAUUUUCACAUUUCACUCAUUUUUUUUUUUCUUUUUUCAUUUGCCAUCAACUAUCAUUGGUCCGCCAAAUGACCCUUUUUACCCUUGAAGAUUGCAACAUGUAGCACAUAGAAUACAUCAGGAUGGUUUUUUAUUUUAUGGGUUCACCUGUCCCAGACGGACCCAACCCCUGUGUUGAGUCCCCAAAGUCAGAUGCACGUGAUGCAAAUAAGCAUUCUUACUAGGGAUCCGGCGUGAGGCUAUGUUAUUCUAGGUUUAAAACCUGGGUGUAUUGUUCUAGACCUGGCUUACUCGAGCGGACAACUCGAGCCGGGGGGGGGGGGGGGCAGCGUAUCGGUAACCAAAAGAUCAUCCGACUUUGCAACUUGUCUGAACCUCGUUCUAAAUUAGGAUAUGACACUAACAGAAAAGAAGUCACGCCAGCGUGCACUUCCCAGAAAAUUAGAAGAGAAAGUUUUCGCCACAGUUUAUAUACAGUUCAAAUAAUAUCAAAGCGGUAAAAAGCAACAUUUAGCACAUUAGGCCCAAACAUGUAAUAGAAAUCAGAUAAUAAAUAGAAGCCAAAUAUAACAAUUAUUCUAAGCUCGAAUUCUUGAACCCUGAACCAGAGAUUCUGGGUUCGAUCCCCAACAGAGUAGCCAGAGCUGUCACACCUCCUUUUUCACCCCGAGAGGGGUAUAAGAGAGUUUUUUCCAAUUUAAGUGACAAUCAAAACAGGAAUAUUUAUAUUAAAAUUUAGAGUUGCCACUUGGGAUAACUUAUGGUGUCCCAAGUCACCGGUUUAAAAUCCAGAAUCGAGGAAAUUUGACUCAUAUUUAUGGUCUGCGAACACAUAAAUCCGGGUAAGGAAUUCUGUUAAUCCGGGAGAAGGUGUUAGGCAUUCCCAAGUUCUGUGGUUCUAGCACGGUCGCUCAACUAUUAUAUUGGCCUAAUUAUCUGAUUAAUUACACAUUUUAAACCUACGUGCCCUUUUAACUUUUUAGCCGUUUUUAAUAUUUCAGGAAAAUUCAAGGUUAUUUAAAACACAUCGUAAGCUACGCUACAUGAAAUGCACCUGCGAUUCACGACACAUUCUAUUUAAUCUUGUUGGAAAUUAGAAUCGGAUCACAUGAAAUGUACACCCGGAUUGAGAUUUACGUAUCGAGACUAUAAACCAUAGCAAAAUGAACAGCCCUCUUGUGAGUGAAUCAACAAAUUGUACUAGUCAAGAAAACAUUAGAUGAAGCCCAAUGAUGAUUGGUUCCAGAAGUAAUUGUAUUUGAAUAAUUGCAGAAAACACAAAAUCACAUCUCGAAGUCCCACCGCAAACCUUAUGGCCCAUAUAUUUCUUACACAUAUACAAAAUCCUCAACCCAAUUAAAAUGACCAAUUCAACCAAGACAAUUUUCUGCUAGUCCACUAUUUCCUAUCAUUAAUCUAAUAUUUUUAGCUAAUAACAAAAAAAUCAAAUGCAUUCAUCAUAUCAUGAACUAAUUUCUCACAUUGAAGCAUGGAAACACAAGGGACAAAUAAGUAUAUAAUUUAAGAUACCCAUUUUAACAUGCUAGUGAACGACCAAACAUCCUCUAAUUCAAAUAAAAAAACAGAAAUAAACUUUUAAGCAAACCCACUUUAAGACAUGGAAUCAAAAUUUGCAUAGGUACAAAUACCUAAUGAAAUAAUCAUUCAACCACAAUUAGAAUCAAGCUAGGAAGACAUGGUUGCACAGAACGAACCUUUAUUAUUGCCGAAUUUGAAAUUUUAGAACUUUGCAAUUUAACAAAUGGACGAAACACCACUGACAACGACCGGAAAUCAGUGACGGCGACUUUGACCUCAACAGACCGAAAAUGAAAAUGUCACUGCGCCUUUCAACCUCGAACGUCGAACAACAGUCAGAUCAUAUCCAUCUCAGUUUCUGCUCAAAGUUUCUACCGGAUUUUCGGCCAGUUAUGGUAGUUGUUGCUGCUGGUUUCCAGCGAGUUCUCAUGUGAGGUGAUGGAGUUAAGAUCGUGGUCUGGUGGAGGACGACAAUGAACAGAAGCAUUUGGUGAAUAUAAAUGAGAGGGGUCACGGCUGAAGGUUGCUAUGGAGACUAGGGUUCUUUGUUCUUAGCGUUAGGUCUCAUAUGUUCAAGGUUGAAGAUGAAAGAAACAUGUCCAUGGGGAUUCGGCGACUGAUUUGUUCUGUGUAUAGGUCUCCUGGAAUGGAUGUUGCCGUUUUCUUUAAGAAGAAGAAGAAGAAGCAUCUCCUUUAUGCUGAAAAUUGGAGGAGACGAAUCAAAGGGAUGGGGGUCGUUUUGUGAUUUGCGGCUGACUUAAUGAAGAAGAAGCAGCAGCAGCUCCCAGUUCUUUUUGGUGUUAGAUCUUAGAGCCUCAUGAAGAAGAAGCUCAUGGAGGUCUCAUUUUCAUUCUCAGCCGCUGCUUUUUUCUUAGGUCUUUUUUUAGAAGAUGAUCAAAUUGUGUGUGUGGGGAGGGGUCGUGUAUAUGGUAAAAACGGCGUUGUUGUAUAUUAGGUCCUAGGGUCU